Molecule: ribosomal RNA, 474 nt
Filed under: uncultured bacterium
Lineage: Bacteria
Description: bacterial SSU rRNA
Rfam family: Bacterial small subunit ribosomal RNA
Source: RNAcentral
ACUCCUACGGGAGGCAGCAGUAGGGAAUCUUCCACAAUGGGCGCAAGCCUGAUGGAGCAACACCGCGUGAGUGAAGAAGGGUUUCGGCUCGUAAAGCUCUGUUGUUAAAGAAGAACACGUAUGAGAGUAACUGUUCAUACGUUGACGGUAUUUAACCAGAAAGUCACGGCUAACUACGUGCCAGCAGCCGCGGUAAUACGUAGGUGGCAAGCGUUAUCCGGAUUUAUUGGGCGUAAAGAGAGUGCAGGCGGUUUUCUAAGUCUGAUGUGAAAGCCUUCGGCUUAACCGGAGAAGUGCAUCGGAAACUGGAUAACUUGAGUGCAGAAGAGGGUAGUGGAACUCCAUGUGUAGCGGUGGAAUGCGUAGAUAUAUGGAAGAACACCAGUGGCGAAGGCGGCUACCUGGUCUGCAACUGACGCUGAGACUCGAAAGCAUGGGGUAGCGAACAGGAUUAGAUACCCUGGUAGCUCGAUG